This 70-nucleotide transfer RNA is filed under the name Dipodomys ordii (Ord's kangaroo rat). It matches the Rfam family "tRNA". From Rfam's summary of the family: Transfer RNA (tRNA) molecules are approximately 80 nucleotides in length. Their secondary structure includes four short double-helical elements and three loops (D, anti-codon, and T loops). Further hydrogen bonds mediate the characteristic L-shaped molecular structure. tRNAs have two regions of fundamental functional importance: the anti-codon, which is responsible for specific mRNA codon recognition, and the 3' end, to which the tRNAs corresponding amino acid is attached (by aminoacyl-tRNA synthetases). tRNAs cope with the degeneracy of the genetic code in two manners: having more than one tRNA (with a specific anti-codon) for a particular amino acid; and 'wobble' base-pairing, i.e. permitting non-standard base-pairing at the 3rd anti-codon position. Lineage: Eukaryota; Metazoa; Chordata; Mammalia; Rodentia; Heteromyidae. The record is from Rfam by way of RNAcentral.
GGGAAUGUGGCUUAGUGGUAGAGUGCUUGCCUACCAUGCAUGAAGCCCUGGGUUUGAUUCCCCAGUACCA